This 6926-nucleotide long non-coding RNA is filed under the name Chlamydomonas reinhardtii. RNAcentral describes it as "long non-coding RNA (CREI_LNC000457)". Lineage: Eukaryota; Viridiplantae; Chlorophyta; Chlorophyceae; Chlamydomonadales; Chlamydomonadaceae. The record is from RNAcentral.
CAGGCGGGGAAGGGGCGGGGCAGGGAGGGAGAGUGUCAGCGGCAAGAUAUGCAGCAACGGACCCUACAGCAAGCACGAUGUGCAAAGUACAUCUACCCAGGAUGCGGUUCGGAUGCCCCUCCCCCCAAAAAUCAUACAUCUGCCCCUACUCACUGACGUCCAGCUGCAGCUUGUGCAGGUCGGCGCUGCAGCACGGCUCAGAGGGGUUGGCGCACUGAGGGUCGCUGUACUGGACAGUCCAGCAGAUGGUGUUGGUGCCGGGGAAGGUGGUCACGGGCUUCACCGAGUACUUGGACUUGGUCAGCGCGCGCGUGCAGCCGGAGUAGGGGAAGUCAAGGGCGGUUGCCGCGGCCCUGUCAUGUGCAAGCAAACAAGGUCAGUCGCACGCAAACCAAAGGCUGUUGCGUGAUUGCCAAACUGAUGAUUCGCUCUAUGAUUUGCCGACAAAGAACAAACCAAGCGACCGCACAAGUGAACGACGGAAGCCAACAGAGCGUGUGACCCAUCCACAAUAAUGUCCUCGGCCGCCUACACUUACACGAAGGCCAGCAGGGCCACAGCGACGGCAGUGCGUCGCAUACUGGGCCACGUCACUUUCGUCCGCCUUCUGUCUCCUGCAAGUUCGCAAUAUCAUUAUUAAUGAGUGCCGGCGUUGCUGUCAACUGGGCGGCAGCAUGUGACAACACGCUGGCCUCCAGUGGCAAUAUUGCCAUUGAGUGGCGCUGCUAAGGUCUAAGGCGCCGAGCGUCGCAGGGAAGCAUAUGGCACCCACCUCUCAAUGCCGCCGACAAGGAAAAUACCCAAUGACCCGCUCUGAAGAGUCGCACACCUAAAAACGACGCAAGAUUGUGUAUGCGUUGUGAGUGCGAGUCUAUGCGAAGAGCGGAAAUGCGACGGCUUAAGAGGAGAGAGGGCACCGUACGGGGGUUGGCGGAAUGGCGGGCGGCGGUCGCACUUGCGGUAACGGCAGGGCUUCAGCUCUCACCAGCUGAGCCAUGUAGCUAUCACGAUUAUCCACAAGCUUAAGCGGGGAUGGGCCGUAGGUUGGGUGCCCCGCGGCUUGCUGAAUCCUUCGCGCGCCGUGCGCAAGCGCACUGCGAAGUUUCCCUGCGAAUAACAAGUUGGCAAACUUCAAACAGCAGCACAACAGAUAGACCUUUUCGGCAAAGCAGGGCGCAUAUAGCGCAUGUUGCUGGCAACCGUGAAUGGAUGGUCGCUUUCACUUGCACUCUCCGACGCAACUGCACAGUUAUAUGUGCUAUUCGAGAUUCCUGAUCAGUUCAAGCCAGCGCCAGAAGCUGAUGAAACCGUUAUGGGCGAAGUCUAUCGAUCGACAAUAAUGCUUUACGGCUUUUGGCUUUGGCUGCUCAUGGCCCCGCAAGCCGAUUACACUGGCAACGCUGCACCUCUACACGGUUCUUAUGUUGUAUGCGUCAUGCGCAGCACUAUGACUACUCGGUUCCCGUAUUCUUACUUGCCCUGGAUGGUCGGACCUGGUCGAACUUCAUGCCCUGCGCCCCUGGGGCGUUUAAGGUGUCCCUUUGGGUGCGAAUGCAUUACACGCACGACAUAUAUGCGUGGUUUCAGGCUAGCAGAGUCCUUGCAAAAUUCGGGGCAUGGCCAGGUGUCCGCUGCAAUGAGCACGUGUAUAUUCUGGACGCUCAUCCGUGGGCGGGUCGUGCGUGCAUACUCCAGCCGGCCAGGAUGUCACGCGCCCACACACACCUCGCGUGUAGCUCUGAAGGCAGUGGCCUAAUUGACCUGGGCAAUACUUAUGCGAUGUAUGAAGUCACGCACGCUUGCCUGCAAUCCUGCACAUGGAUGCCUUGGCAGGGGGGGGGGUAGAAAGCUCAGUUUCUUACCCCAUGCUCAAAAUUACAGAGCUUUAGGAGAGCAUUAUGCACGUGCUUGUAGUUUUUUAAGGGGGUGUCUGGUGAGGAAGUUCUGGGCCGCCAAAGUUGGGGGGUCGGUCCUCGUCCCUGGGGGUCCGUCGGGUUUCGGGAGCCCAUCCUGGCGGAUUUCGGGAAGCGCCCCACAAGCAGAACUAGGGGCCAAACGCAGCAGUGCGAGGCUCAUAUGUGUACGUUAUGACGUGAUAAGCACAAACAAAGCGUGGGAGGGCUAAGUUUCGCGUCCGGACGUGGACAUGUCCGGACAUGUCUCCACAUUCAACACAUGCGCACUGACACAGCUGGGCUCUGAAGCGCUGAUGCGCAUGAGUUCACGUCUAACAAGGCUGCCGAUACACAUUGUCCAUUCGUCACGCGGCAAAGAGUUGAGCGCGGGGUGGUCUGGGUCGAGGGGAUUUCCAUGGAUAGGAUCCCCGUGACCGAAGUCUCAGAACAGGACCGCUGAUGGCACGGAGUGAUAGUGCUCGUCAAGAGGAGUCGAUUGACACUACUUUGGUAUUAAAUGGAGGAGUUUUAACCGCUGAACAACAAGGUUUUGUCCGUCGGGGGGUCGGUCGUCCCCUCAAGGGGGGUCCCGGGGGAUUUCGGGGCAUGGGGUCUGGCACUUUGUUUCCUACCCCCCCCCUGGCCUUGGGAUUGGUACAGACACCGCGGCCAUUUCAUCUUCUGGUAUCGAAGAUGUAAGCUUGAAGACUGGUCUGUGGAAUUACUGAUGCCUCAGCGCCCCCUCCCGUCCAGGCGCCGCGCACCAUCCGCACGGAGCGGCCACCGUCCAGUGACGAUACCGCCUUACUUAACCCUAUUAACCCUAUGCGUUUCAACAGUGGGUGACCAUGGCGGCGGGGCAUAUCGGGGCGAUCGGCCACCAAUGCGACUUCCCCUUGCUUGUGGACGCACAUGAUUAUUUGAGGACGGCUUCUACAAAGCUUUCUAGCCCGCCGCCCUGCUGCACAAAUUAGGCCACGGCCGGGGCCGCCAUGGUCGUGGCCACGUGCGGCCCGCACGGCGCAAACACCGCAAUGCCGGCUGUGUGGUUGAGAACGGCCAUGGUCGGCCGGGUUGAACAGCAGAGCUACGGUAUGGGAAGCCCACUAGCCCAGGUUGGAGCGCGGCAACGCAGCUGCGCGCGCAGAAACCCGCAGCGCCACCCCCGCCGGCCGUACUGUGGCUGCGCGCGGUUGGUACUGCUGCGUCUGUAUACCCGUACAGCAAAUUUCCCUGCCCAUUCCAUCUGCAUCUCCGUAGUUUUGUGCACUCCAUGGACACGCCGACCUGGUGUUAUUACGCCAUCUCGUCAGCAGACACCCCUGUCCUCCGACAUGGGCCCAGCCCCGCCCUCGCCUCACGCAUGGCCAUUGCGUCCCAGCUAACAUUCAACCAGCCAUCACCAACAUCUGGGAAGCUCCUUCAGAGAAAUGUUAGCUAGUGUGAAUGCAAAUCCUUGUGAGCCCGGCGCUCCUCCAUCACACCCCUGUCGUACUACCCACCAGGCGCCAGGCCGUGCGGUGUGCAGCUCGCAGCUCGCAGCGCUAGCUUCAGCUGCUCCUCCUCUCCUCCGGCGUGCUUGUGCCACUGCACAGACUCAUUGCGUCCCCGCACAGCCUCCUACCUAUGCACGGGCUGAUGGGCAUGUAUGCGCGCCCUCACGCCCCAUUGCUCUGAUCAUCACCGCUGCCUCACCUGCCUGCACCCUACUCCAUCCCCCCCCCUGCUUUGUGCAUAUGCCUACUACUAUGAACAUCCCUUGCAGCGGCUCACUAUGGACGCCAAUGUGGUGCCCUGCAGAUGCACGCAGCGCGCAGUCCCAAAUCUUCAAGUACUCCCGCACGGCAUAGUCUGUUGUCUGUGGCGUGUCCUGUGGAUCGCCUGGCCGGGCGCCUGACCAGGGUCGCCGGGCAUUUCCGCUCGCUGCCAGCCACGCCUCAGCUCGAUCGCCCCGGCCUCGAUUGGGCGCUUAGUUCACGGUCAGCCUUCCGCAGCAGCUCUGGGCCAUGUGGUAACGCGGUGCUGCUGACGGGGCCGGGGAAUCGUUGGCGCGAGGGCUACAUAUAUCCUCAAGUAUCAUUGGCGCCGGGGGGGGCACAAAUGCACAACCAUUGGCUCCUAGAGGUUCAGCUGCUGGCUUCCCUUGCCCUUGCCCUUACACGCUGUUCCGCCGCUGCGCUGCGUCCUCUCUUGGGAAGAGUUGCAAUGCAAGGCACGCAUCACAUGGACCAACAAAAGCUUACGCCAAGUCCCACGCCGCCGCUUCGCCACAUCUUCUGAGACAACGGUGCGUGCGCCUUUGAAACCGUCGCAUUAGGUGGGUUGCUCGGCUUGCGCCAAACCGCCGGUUUUGUGGCGUGCGGUGUCCCACAUACACACGCCCUACCCCCAGACAUGUACACACCUGCAACGCACGUUGCACGUAUUUUCCCGUGUGCGCUUCCACACAUGCGACAUAUUCCCGUGCCAUGCACGCCUUCGGGUCAUUAUCCCAGAGUUAUGUCAUGAUCGAGAGGAACAAUCAUAUUGGCUAGCCAAGCCUGCUGUAUCAUCUUGGCUAAACCUGCUCUCUCUCAACUCCGAAGCCGCUGGCACGUAUGCCAUUCAAGCCCCUUCUUCUCGUCCACCACCAACACAGUCAUGUAAGCGCUUGUAUUGAGCAUACGCUCAUGCAACAGGUCAUGUAGACAAUAAAGCACGGAGCCGUCAAGACGAAGACAAAAUUGAGGCGGCCAGCCAUCCCGCUCGUAAAGCGCAAGACGCGCGGUUCGGCAUUGCACGUCAAGACAAGCAAGCACAACGCUUAGUCAACGGGUAGGAAGACCGUCCAUGGGGCCCGGCUGCCGUUACUCUGCCGGGAAGGUGGGGCAGCAGCUCUGGUCAGGGUUGAACAGAGAGCCCCACACGUAGCCAUCGGGGUCCAUUGAGAAAUCCGCAAGCGUGGUGCCCGACUUGAACUUGAAGCAAAUCUUGGGCUUGAGCGACGCAACGUCGCCGGUCUUCCAGUUCAGGUCAGAGACUUUCAGCGUGUUGUCACCCACGGGGCCCCACGACUCUGCACCCACAGGUGGGAGCGAACACGGGUCAGCGUGGGAGGAGCGUCAGCAAGCAAGUGGCACUUGUCCGGUGCCACUGGACACACGCAAAUACGUGCGCAUCACCCUUGGCAUGACCGUGUAACACACACGCCCACACACAUAGCCAGCAACCAACCAUCACACCGCUUUCCCAGUACAUGCCUAUGUCAGGUCCCACGAAAGGCGGCGCUCGCUACUCACGAGAGCGGGUGGCGGUCCUGCCGUUGUUGUAGCGAAUGGUGAUGCCAGUCAGCUUCCAACGCAUAUUGUAGUCGAAGUAGAACUCGGCCUUUUUCAUGAUGGUGGCGGAGGCGCACUUGCCGGGGCCAGCCGCGGCGGUGUACACGCUUAGGCAAUACUCGUUGUUGACGUCAUCCACCUCGACGGCAUUAUCCAGGUAGAAGGGGGUCGAGCCCUGCUGCUUAUUGCACACGCAGAAGGGGAAGGGCGUGGUGGGCGGGGCGCAGGCGGGCCCAGCCUUGAAGAUGCCACAGUCCUGAUCGGUCGAGGUGACGCCGGUCGAGUAGCCAGCCAGGGCCAGAGGGCAGUCGCCAGUGAAGCCGAACACGGAAGUAACGAGGCCAUUGCCCAUAGACUCCAGCUCGUUUGCCAUCUUAGCGCCCCGCUCCUUUGAAUACAUAGUGGCGCAGGCCGUGAUCUUGUUGCCGUUGCAGGUGAUGGAGUCGGUGCCGGCGAUGAUGGUGCCAUCUUCCAUGUAGGGAGCGAACAGCUCGCUAAUGACGUCCUUGCCGACGGCGCAGUUGUAGGCAUCACCGAAGUAGUUGAGGUCAUCAACCAGGACGUUGGGACCAGCAAUGGCCUCCCAGGUAGCGCACACCUUGCAGGGGGGAGGGGGAGAGGGAGGAGGAGGCGAGGGGGGAGGAGGCGAGGGGGGAGGGGGAGGGGGGGGAGACGGGGGAGGAGGCGAUGGGGGAGGGGGAGAGGGAGGGGGAGGAGAGGGGGGAGGAGGAGAGGGAGGAGGGGGAGGGGGAGGAGACGGGGGAGGGGGAGGAGGAGGCGAGGGCGGAGGGGGAGAGGGAGGAGGGGGAGAGGGAGGAGGAGGCGGGGGAGGAGACGGGGGAGGGGGAGGGGGAGGAGAGGCGCCACGGGUGACCGGGCAGCACUGGUGAGCGGUGUCCCACAGAGCCACCGACCAGACGGGGCUGGGGGUCAGGGAAGCCAGGGUCAUGCAAGAGCCGCCCGUGAGGGUCAGGCAGAUGGUGGCGCCGUUGGCGGAGGCACCGUCCAGGCCCAGGCCGGGAAUCGACAGCACAUACUGGUCAGAGCCACCGUUGGGGGGGCGGUAGAUGGUGGGGGAGGGGGUGCCUUGGCCGUUGACGGUGGCGGUGGCACGGAAUCCAGACGCGCAUGACUGCUCUGCAAGCGGGGAAGGGGCGGGGCAGGGAAGGAGAGUGUCAGCGGUAAGAUAUGCAGCAAUGGACCCUACAGCAAGCACGAUGUGCAAAGUACAUCUACCCAGGAUGCGGUUCGGAUGCCCUCCCCCCUAAAAACAUAAAUCUGCCCAGCGGUCUGGCCCCUACUUACUGACAUCCAGCUGCAGCUUGUGCAGGUCGGCGCUGCAGCACGGCUCAGAGGGGUUGGCGCACUGAGGGUCGCUGUACUGGACAGUCCAGCAGAUGGUGUUGGUGCCGGGGAAGGUGGUCACGGGCUUCACCGAGUACUUGGACUUGCUCAGCGCGCGCGCGCAGCCGGCGUAGGGGAAGUCAAGGGCGGUGGCCGCGGCCCUGGAAGUGGAGGGCACGAAUCGGGGGUGUAACCGACACGCCGCGUCAGCACAGCGGUUGCAGAAGAACAGCAGGCACGCUGUAUUUGGCAGCUCAGCUGCGAUCAUUGUUUGCAGAGACGGUUCCGCGUAAAGCAGCAAUUAUGGCAGCGCCGCUGCCGUGUAGUCCCACCGGGUCCCACCGACAUGCCGCCCACGCGACUUACACGA